Molecule: ribosomal RNA, 2296 nt
Filed under: Providencia stuartii ATCC 25827
Lineage: Bacteria; Pseudomonadati; Pseudomonadota; Gammaproteobacteria; Enterobacterales; Morganellaceae
Description: bacterial LSU rRNA
Rfam family: Bacterial large subunit ribosomal RNA
Source: RNAcentral
UUAAGCGACUAAGCGUACACGGUGGAUGCCUAGGCAAUCAGAGGCGAUGAAGGACGUGCUAAUCUGCGAAAAGCGUCGGUAAGGUGAUAUGAACCGUUAUAACCGACGAUGUCCGAAUGGGGAAACCCAGUGCAAUUCGUUGCACUAUCGUUUGAUGAAUCCAUAGUCAAACGAGGCGAACCGGGGGAACUGAAACAUCUCAGUACCCCGAGGAAAAGAAAUCAACCGAGAUUCCCCUAGUAGCGGCGAGCGAACGGGGAGCAGCCCAGAGUCUUAAUCAGCAUCAGCAUCAGGAGAACGGUCUGGAAAGGCCGGCAAUAAAGGGUGAUAGCCCCGUAUCCGAAGGUGUUAGUGUUGUGAACUCGAUGAGUAGGGCGGGACACGUGUUAUCCUGUCUGAAUAUGGGGGGACCAUCCUCCAAGGCUAAAUACUCCUGAUUGACCGAUAGUGAACCAGUACCGUGAGGGAAAGGCGAAAAGAACCCCGGCGAGGGGAGUGAAAUAGAACCUGAAACCGUGUACGUACAAGCAGUGGGAGCCUUGAUUUAUCAGGGUGACUGCGUACCUUUUGUAUAAUGGGUCAGCGACUUAUAUUCUGUAGCAAGGUUAACCGAAUAGGGGAGCCGUAGGGAAACCGAGUCUUAACUGGGCGAAUGAGUUGCAGGGUAUAGACCCGAAACCCGGUGAUCUAGCCAUGGGCAGGUUGAAGGUUGGGUAACACUAACUGGAGGACCGAACCGACUAAUGUUGAAAAAUUAGCGGAUGACUUGUGGCUGGGGGUGAAAGGCCAAUCAAACCGGGAGAUAGCUGGUUCUCCCCGAAAGCUAUUUAGGUAGCGCCUCGUGAACUCAUCUUCGGGGGUAGAGCACUGUUUCGGCUAGGGGGUCAUCCCGACUUACCAACCCGAUGCAAACUACGAAUACCGAAGAAUGUUAUCACGGGAGACACACGGCGGGUGCUAACGUUCGUCGUGAAGAGGGAAACAACCCAGACCGCCAGCUAAGGUCCCAAAGUCAUGGUUAAGUGGGAAACGAAGUGGGAAGGCUCAGACAGCCAGGAUGUUGGCUUAGAAGCAGCCAUCAUUUAAAGAAAGCGUAAUAGCUCACUGGUCGAGUCGGCCUGCGCGGAAGAUGUAACGGGGCUAAACCAUGCACCGAAGCUGCGGCAGCGACAUGUAAAUGUUGUUGGGUAGGGGAGCGUUCUGUAAGCCUGUGAAGGUGUGCUGCGAGGCAUGCUGGAGGUAUCAGAAGUGCGAAUGCUGACAUAAGUAACGAUAAUGCGGGUGAAAAACCCGCACGCCGGAAGACCAAGGGUUCCUGUCCAACGUUAAUCGGGGCAGGGUGAGUCGACCCCUAAGGCGAGGCAGAAAUGCGUAGUCGAUGGGAAACAGGUUAAUAUUCCUGUACUGGUGAUAAUUGCGAUGGGGGGACGGAGAAGGCUAGGCUGGCCGGGCGACGGUUGUCCCGGUUUAAGGAUGUAGGUGGGUGAAUUAGGCAAAUCCGGUUCACUGUACACUGAGGUCUGAUGACGAGUCACUACGGUGGCGAAGUAGCUCAUGCCCCGCUUCCAGGAAAAGCCUCUAAGCUCUAGAUUAUCAUUAAUCGUACCCCAAACCGACACAGGUGGUCAGGUAGAGAAUACUCAGGCGCUUGAGAGAACUCGGGUGAAGGAACUAGGCAAAAUGGUGCCGUAACUUCGGGAGAAGGCACGCUGGCAUUAGGUGAAGUGGUUUACCCAUGGAGCUGAAGCCAGUCGCAGAUACCAGCUGGCUGCAACUGUUUAUUAAAAACACAGCACUGUGCAAACACGAAAGUGGACGUAUACGGUGUGACGCCUGCCCGGUGCUGGAAGGUUAAUUGAUGGGGUUAUCCGUAAGGAGAAGCUCUUGAUCGAAGCCCCAGUAAACGGCGGCCGUAACUAUAACGGUCCUAAGGUAGCGAAAUUCCUUGUCGGGUAAGUUCCGACCUGCACGAAUGGCGUAAUGAUGGCCAGGCUGUCUCCACCCGAGACUCAGUGAAAUUGAACUCGCUGUGAAGAUGCAGUGUACCCGCGGCAAGACGGAAAGACCCCGUGAACCUUUACUAUAGCUUGACACUGAACAUUGAGCCUUGAUGUGUAGGAUAGGUGGGAGGCUUUGAAGUGUGGACGCCAGUCUGCAUGGAGCCAACCUUGAAAUACCACCCUUUAAUGUUUGAUGUUCUAACGUAGCCCCAUAAUCUGGGGUGCGGACAGUGUCUGGUGGGUAGUUUGACUGGGGGCGGUCUCCCUCCCCUAAGCGUAACGGAGGAGCACGAAAU